Molecule: ribosomal RNA, 290 nt
Filed under: uncultured bacterium
Lineage: Bacteria
Description: partial 16S ribosomal RNA
Rfam family: Bacterial small subunit ribosomal RNA
Source: RNAcentral
GUGGAUUAGAUACCCUGGUAAUCCUAGCCGUAAACGAUGGACACUAGGUGUUGGCGGUAUCAACCCCGCCAGUGCCGAAGCUAACGCAUUAAGUGUCCCGCCUGGGGAGUACGGCCGCAAGGCUAAAACUCAAAGGAAUUGACGGGGGCCCGCACAAGCAGCGGAGCGUGGGGUUUAAUUCGACGCGACGCGAAGAACCUUACCAGGACUUGACAUGGCCAGGAUCGGGGCGGAAACGUCCCUUCCCCGCAAGGGGCCUGGUCACAGGUGUUGCACGGCCGUCGACAGCU